This 876-nucleotide long non-coding RNA is filed under the name Apteryx rowi (Okarito brown kiwi). Its description in RNAcentral is "lncRNA (ENSARWG00000014102.1)". The record is from RNAcentral. Lineage: Eukaryota; Metazoa; Chordata; Aves; Apterygiformes; Apterygidae.
UUUUGACACUUCAGUUGCUUAUCUUGGAAAUGUGGUGGAAACACAACUGCUUCCUCUGAGGAACUGAAUUGCAGCCAUAUGCAGUUUCCUUCCUAACCUGCACAGGUGAAACAAGGAUAUUUUCCCCAGCAUGGCUUUCUGAACCUCGCCACUGAAAUGCGGCAGAGCAAGACAGCUGCAAUUUUAAAGCAGCCAUUUUGGAAGUAGUUACUACUUGCGCUUUGCUCUCCUAUCUGGUUUUUUUCACCCUGGAUUUACACUGAGGCAAAUAACAGAGCAGCCCACAUACUUUUUUUAUAUAUAUAUAUUUAUUUAUUUAUAAUAUAUGUAUCCUUUAUUUUUUAUACAAUUUAGCCAUAUAUCUAUUAGCCUUUGAAAACAACUUGUUGAAUAAUAUAGCUCGUAUUAGCAGUACUGUUAUAAUUUUAUUUUGUAUGUCGUGAAUUUAUUUGUCUUGACAACAGAAAGUCUUGGGACUAGCUGGAAAGUGGACUUCAGCUGAGUAGCACUAGAGCUAAAUUAGAUGACCCUGAAAAGAGAAAUAACUAUGAAAGGAGUAGAACAGCGAGUUGGCAACAGAUCUGCUGUGAAAGUUGUGAUACUUUAAAGGACAAAUAUUCUGCUGUGCUUUUCAAAACUUCAAAACAGGUGAAAGGGAAGAACAGUGAUUCCCCUUCUCUGUCCAUUCACACAUGGCAAGAAAAGAUGAAAAAGAAAGUGCAGGCUAAAGUAAGUUAUAAUAUAAUCAGUCCAUAUGGAGGUAAAAUUAAAAAGUGGGGAGACACUUUCUUUAUUCCUUUCUUCCUCUGCUACUUGACUGCUCUCCCUGUUUUCCAGACUGGAAUGUGCCAAAAAAUUUUCAUUUCUAUGCCCCAA